RNAcentral lists this long non-coding RNA (141 nucleotides) under Phasianus colchicus (ring-necked pheasant). RNAcentral describes it as "lncRNA (ENSPCLG00000000239.1)". Lineage: Eukaryota; Metazoa; Chordata; Aves; Galliformes; Phasianidae. The record is from RNAcentral.
CUUACUUGCCUGCUGGGAGACCACUGUUGCUCGAGGGCGUAUCAGAAGCAAGGUGGGGAAGCUGAGUGGAAGGAGGCAGAUGAACUGACAGAAGAACUAAUAUACUAAAGUUUGUUCUCUUUUGGUGCUGUUUGCUUGGCA